UACGUAGGUGGCAAGCGUUGUCCGGAUUUACUGGGUGUAAAGGGCGUGUAGCCGGGAAGGCAAGUCAGAUGUGAAAUCCACGGGCUCAACUCGUGAACUGCAUUUGAAACUGUUUUUCUUGAGUAUUGGAGAGGCAAUCGGAAUUCCUAGUGUAGCGGUGAAAUGCGUAGAUAUUAGGAGGAACACCAGUGGCGAAGGCGGAUUGCUGGACGACAACUGACGGUGAGGCGCGAAAGCGUGGGGAGCAAACAGG
Molecule: ribosomal RNA, 253 nt
Filed under: Oscillibacter ruminantium GH1
Lineage: Bacteria; Bacillati; Bacillota; Clostridia; Eubacteriales; Oscillospiraceae
Description: partial 16S ribosomal RNA
Rfam family: Bacterial small subunit ribosomal RNA
Source: RNAcentral